GAUGAAGAACGUAGCGAAAUGCGAUAAGUAGUGUGAAUUGCAGAAUUCAGUGAAUCAUCGAAUCUUUGAACGCACAUUGCGCCCCCUGGCAUUCCGGGGGGCAUGCCUGUCCGAGCGUCAUUUCUGCCCUCAAGCACGGCUUGUGUGUUGGGUGUGGUCCCCCCGGGGACCUGCCCGAAAGGCAGCGGCGACGUCCGUCUGGUCCUCGAGCGUAUGGGGCUCUGUCACUCGCUCGGGAAGGACCUGCGGGGGUUGGUCACCACCAUGUUUUACCACGGUUGACCUCGGAUCAGGUAGGAGUUACCCGCUGAACUUAAGCAUAUCAAUAAGCGGAGGA
RNAcentral lists this unclassified non-coding RNA (337 nucleotides) under soil metagenome. Its description in RNAcentral is "partial contains 5.8S ribosomal RNA, internal transcribed spacer 2, and large subunit ribosomal RNA". The stretch from base 1 to 120 matches the Rfam family "5.8S ribosomal RNA", at positions 35 to 154 of the family's 154-position model. The record is from RNAcentral.